Non-coding RNA from Drosophila suzukii, 553 nucleotides. Lineage: Eukaryota; Metazoa; Arthropoda; Insecta; Diptera; Drosophilidae. The record is from RefSeq and is a predicted model, not a curated record.
CCCUUUUUUUUGGUCAAAAGAAAGUCCGCAAAAGAAAGGCGAAACAUAUGGCAGACGGUGUGUGUGUGUGUGAAUGUGUGCGUGUGUGUUUCUGAAUGAUAUGUUGCAUUCGCUUAGAUUACGCAUACGCCGCGUUGUCCACUGCGAAGAGAGCGACCCGAAGAGAGCAUGCACUUUCUGCGAUUGAGUGAAAGAGAAAUGUGACUCGAAUGCGAAAAUGAGCACUGCACUUUGGCUCAACUCAGUUUCGCUGCGUUUUUUCGCAAUGCUGCUCUUUUGCGAAGCGCGUGCGGCGCUCUUAGCACACACGCACACACACCGAUGCACGGGGGCAUUCGCAUACAUAGACAAAGGGGAAUCACUCGGCAAAACGAAGCAUCGCUGCCGCUGCGCUGCCGCCGCGCUGCCGACGCCAAUGCUCUUUGGUUGCUUUUUUUUGGGCUUUUGGCCAGGCUUUUUGGUUUCCAGCUCUGUCGGCUUUGGACUUUCGCAGAGAUUUCACACGCGAUGCGAUUGCAGUUCUUGCAGACACUUUCAUACGCAUAAACUCAAA